CCCGUUAAGAUCGAGCAAUCGAUCGCUGUUCAAACAUUUCUUCGAUUAUAUGGAAUGGUUCCCUACUCUUGCGCGAGAUUAAAGUUACGCUUUAUACGGUGAAGUUAUUCGUCGAGAGGUUUGAAUGCCGGUCGCAUGUGAAUUCUUAUCUGGAACUCAUAAUAUAGCUCUUUGGAACUUGACGAAACAACGGUGCCAUUACGUUACUGUUGUCGUCUGCCUCAUUUCUCGAAAAAGAAAAAAGGGAAGACGAGACAGUUAUUGCGGCUAUUGAGGAAAAAUGAUGGAAAGAAGAUCGAAGAAUAAUUGGUCGAUCAACGGAGGUGUCAAUGGAAAAAAUAGGUUAUGGAACGUAUAUAAAUUAUCGUCAGGAUCCAGUGCCGCCUCUCCAUAGGCGGAAUCGACAGACGAGCGACCAAGUGUCGAAAAAGUAGAUCAACCAUGUAUUACCCGCUCGUAUAUUAUGUUUAAUGGCGAUCCCUUCUCCUACGUUCUGAGUAAUUUUACGCGAUACUCAAUAUUCGCCGCGGUUAUAUAUGCGGACCUAUCAUGGAAAAAUUGCAUCGAAGGACAGUAUCCUGAGGGGCUGCAUGUUGUGGCAUCGAAUGUUCGAUAAUUUAUGAAAAUGUUUGUAAAAAUUUGUGAUAUAAAUAUUUUAUGAAAAUUUAUUGUUAUUUAUAUUAUAAAUGUUCGUGAAAAAUUUGUGUUAUGGAAUGUUU
Apis laboriosa (Himalayan honeybee) is the source of this 719-nucleotide long non-coding RNA. RefSeq lists it as uncharacterized. The transcript is spliced from 3 exons. NCBI's taxonomy places the organism in Eukaryota, Metazoa, Arthropoda, Insecta, Hymenoptera, Apidae. The record is from RefSeq and is a predicted model, not a curated record.